CAGGAGUAAAGAUUCCCUAUGGGUUACUGAAAACUCCCAGCUUGUUUGGGGAAAAUGGCUCCCAACCCAGCAAUGGAAAUACCUGUAUCAUGACAAAUCUAGAGGAGCUGACCAUGAAGAAAUUCUUCAACCUGCACACAGAGAGGCUAAGAAGAAUCUGACCAGACAAGAGUUGCUGGGUUUCCACCAUUCAGUGUGUUACAAUACAUCAUAACUUUUUGUUCAAUCACAAUUCUAUGGCUGUCCAUUCCUCCUCAUCAAACUUUUGCAUAAAAACCAUUCUCCCUGGAUUUUCAGGGAAGGCUCCUGUGUAAUGUAAAACUUUGAUUAAAUACAUCUGUUAUGCUUUU
Long non-coding RNA from Marmota monax (woodchuck), 350 nucleotides. RefSeq lists it as uncharacterized. The transcript has 2 exons. The record is from RefSeq and is a predicted model, not a curated record. Lineage: Eukaryota; Metazoa; Chordata; Mammalia; Rodentia; Sciuridae.